RNAcentral lists this ribosomal RNA (74 nucleotides) under Lactobacillus sp. LS3. RNAcentral describes it as "partial 23S ribosomal RNA". The record is from RNAcentral. Lineage: Bacteria; Bacillati; Bacillota; Bacilli; Lactobacillales; Lactobacillaceae.
GGGCGCAUGGUGAAUGCCUUGGCACUAGGAGCCGAUGAAGGACGGGACUAACACGGAUAUGCUUCGGGGAGCUU